GACGAACGCUGGCGGCGUGCUUAACACAUGCAAGUCGAACGGAAAGGCCCAGCUUGCUGGGUACUCGAGUGGCGAACGGGUGAGUAACACGUGGGUGAUCUGCCCUGGACUCUGGGAUAAGCCUGGGAAACUGGGUCUAAUACCGGAUAUGACCUUACAUCGCAUGGUGUUUGGUGGAAAGCUUUUGCGGUUCAGGAUGGGCCCGCGGCCUAUCAGCUUGUUGGUGGGGUAAUGGCCUACCAAGGCGACGACGGGUAGCCGACCUGAGAGGGUGAUCGGCCACACUGGGACUGAGACACGGCCCAGACUCCUACGGGAGGCAGCAGUGGGGAAUAUUGCACAAUGGGCGCAAGCCUGAUGCAGAGACGCCGCGUGAGGGAUGACGGCCUUCGGGUUGUAAACCUCUUUCACCAGGGACGAAGCGUGAGUGACGGUACCUGGAGAAGAAGCACCGGCCAACUACGUG
RNAcentral lists this ribosomal RNA (466 nucleotides) under uncultured bacterium. Its description in RNAcentral is "partial 16S ribosomal RNA". It matches the Rfam family "Bacterial small subunit ribosomal RNA", at positions 28 to 507 of the family's 1533-position model. The record is from RNAcentral.